This 293-nucleotide unclassified non-coding RNA is filed under the name uncultured fungus. RNAcentral describes it as "sequence contains ITS2". The record is from RNAcentral. Lineage: Eukaryota; Fungi.
AACGCACCUUGCACCCUUUGGUAUUCCGAAGGGUACACCCGUUUGAGUGUCAUUGUAAUCUCACUCCAACACCUUUAUUGAUGUUGGAUGUGGACUUGGAUGUUGUCGUGUUCAACGACUCGUCUUAAAUGCCUGAGUGUACCCUGCUUUGCAGCGUAUCAGUGUGAUAAACAUCUUCACUGUUAAGUCUUUUGGGACACGCUUGUGUUGUAGGCUCUAUGCUUUCCAACCGUCCUCUGGACAAUCUCUGACAAUUUGACCUCAAAUCGGGUGGGACUACCCGCUGAACUUAA